CCUACGGGUGGCAGCAGUGGGGAAUAUUGGACAAUGGGGGGAACCCUGAUCCAGCCAUGCCGCGUGUGUGAAGAAGGCCCUCGGGUUGUAAAGCACUUUCAGUGAGGAAGAACGCCUGGUGGUUAAUACCCAUCAGGAAAGACAUCACUCACAGAAGAAGCACCGGCUAACUCCGUGCCAGCAGCCGCGGUAAUACGGAGGGUGCGAGCGUUAAUCGGAAUUACUGGGCGUAAAGCGCGCGUAGGUGGCUUGAUAAGCCGGUUGUGAAAGCCCCGGGCUCAACCUGGGAACGGCAUCCGGAACUGUCAAGCUAGAGUGCAGGAGAGGAAGGUAGAAUUCCCGGUGUAGCGGUGAAAUGCGUAGAGAUCGGGAGGAAUACCAGUGGCGAAGGCGGCCUUCUGGACUGACACUGACACUGAGGUGCGAAAGCGUGGGUAGCAAACAGGAAUAGAUACCCCGGUAGUC
This 465-nucleotide ribosomal RNA is filed under the name Vreelandella stevensii. Its description in RNAcentral is "partial 16S ribosomal RNA". It matches the Rfam family "Bacterial small subunit ribosomal RNA", at positions 338 to 795 of the family's 1533-position model. The record is from RNAcentral. Lineage: Bacteria; Pseudomonadati; Pseudomonadota; Gammaproteobacteria; Oceanospirillales; Halomonadaceae.